Molecule: long non-coding RNA, 1020 nt
Organism: Oncorhynchus tshawytscha (Chinook salmon)
Lineage: Eukaryota; Metazoa; Chordata; Actinopteri; Salmoniformes; Salmonidae
Source: Ensembl
GGAAGAUUGGCCAUAAGAGACUACAUUUUCCAGGGGUCCGCCCGGUGCCCUUUGUCUAAAUUGGUGCGUAAUCUUCAGUUGCGGGCAUUUUCUCCUGGGAUUCAGGACAGAAAGCACACUUCCAUGAACGAUGUAUCAUCGAAGAGAUAUGUGAAAAACACCUUGAGGAUUGGUUCUAAACAACGUUUGCCAUGUUACAGUCGAUAUUAUGGAGUUCAUUUGGAUAAAAGUUAGGCGUUUUUAUGACUGGAUUUUCGUUUUUUUUUGGUAGCCAAACGUGACGCACCAAACGGAGCGAUUUCUCCUAAACAAAUAACCUUUCAGGAAAAACUGAACAUUUGCUAUCUAACAGAGUCUCCUCAUUGAAAACAUCUGAAGUUCUUCAAAGCUAAGUCCUCUCCUGUUCCCUGAUUAAGAGGUGAUGACAACUCCACUACCAUUGUCAACUCUCUCCUGACAUGAACUGAAGCCACGUCUCAUGUGCUCGCUCAUCCACUGGCACUUUGCAUGUUUCCUCUCCAAGCACUCAGGGCCCUGGGUCUGUACUCCUCCAUGUGCAACUGGAUCCUAGACUUCCUGACGGGCCAACCCCAGGUGUUGAGGGUAGGCAACAACACCUCCGCCACGCUGAUCCUCAAUAUGGGGGACCCCCAGGAGUGUGUGCUCAGCCCCCUCCUCACCCAUGACACUGUGGCUAUGAACGACGCCAACUCAAUCAUCAAGUUUGCUGACAACGCAACAGUUAUUAUAUACCACAUUGUAUGUCUAUACACACCACAUAUUAAUAUUCUGGAUUCUGACACAUGAUCACUGUAGUAUAUCUACCCCUGGAUUGUUAAUUGGACUCAUUCUGUCAUUGCUUCAUUUCUUGUUUAGAUUUUGGUUUAUUUUUGUGUUUGUACUGUAUUUGUGAGAUGUUCUACUGUACUGUUAGAGCAAGUAACAUCAGCAUUUCGCUGAUCCUGCUAAAACACCUGCAAAUCUGUGUAUGCGACCAAUAAACAUCGAUUUGAUUUGAAA